Molecule: ribosomal RNA, 433 nt
Filed under: uncultured bacterium
Lineage: Bacteria
Description: partial 16S ribosomal RNA
Rfam family: Bacterial small subunit ribosomal RNA
Source: RNAcentral
AACGAACGCUGGCGGCAUGCCUAACACAUGCAAGUCGAACGAGACCUUCGGGUCUAGUGGCGCACGGGUGCGUAACGCGUGGGAACCUGCCCUUAGGUUCGGAAUAACUCCCCGAAAGGGGUGCUAAUACCGGAUAAUGUCUUCGGACCAAAGAUUUAUCGCCUUUGGAUGGGCCCGCGUUGGAUUAGCUAGUUGGUAGGGUAAAAGCCUACCAAGGCGACGAUCCAUAGCUGGUCUGAGAGGAUGAUCAGCCACACUGGGACUGAGACACGGCCCAGACUCCUACGGGAGGCAGCAGUGGGGAAUAUUGGACAAUGGGCGAAAGCCUGAUCCAGCUAUGCCGCGUGAGUGAUGAAGGCCUUAGGGUUGUAAAGCUCUUUUACCCGGGAUGAUAAUGACAGUACCGGGAGAAUAAGCGCCGGCUAACUCCGUG